Molecule: ribosomal RNA, 468 nt
Filed under: uncultured bacterium
Lineage: Bacteria
Description: partial 16S ribosomal RNA
Rfam family: Bacterial small subunit ribosomal RNA
Source: RNAcentral
GACGAACGCUGGCGGCGUGCUUAACACAUGCAAGUCGAACGGAAAGACCCUGAUUUUGUGGGGUUCUCGAUUGGCGAACGCGUGAGUAACACGUGUGUAACCUGCCCUUGACUUUGGGAUAACUUCAGGAAACUGGGGCUAAUACCGGAUAGGAGCUCCUGCUGCAUGGUGGUGGUUGGAAAGUUUCGGCGGUUGGGGAUGGACUAGCGGCUUAUCAGCUUGUUGGUGGGGUAGUGGCUUACAAAGGCUUUGACGGGUAGCCGGCCUGAGAGGUUUACCGGCCACAUUGCGACUGAGAUACGGACCAGAAUGCUACGGGCGGCAGUAGGCGGGAAUAUUGCAGAAUAGGGGGAAGCCUGAUGUAGAAACGCCGCGUGCGUGAUGCCGUGCUUCGGGUUGAAAACCGCUUUCGACUGUGACGAAGCGUGAGUGACGGUAAUGGGUAAAGAAGCACCGGCUAACUACGUG